RNAcentral lists this non-coding RNA (44 nucleotides) under Trichobilharzia regenti. Lineage: Eukaryota; Metazoa; Platyhelminthes; Trematoda; Strigeidida; Schistosomatidae. The record is from RNAcentral.
AUCCAGUGAUGAGUCUCAAAUAGGACGAAAUACGCAUCCUGGAU